AAAUUAUUAACUUUUUGUAGACAGUUGAAAGCUCUGCUCGUGAGUUCUUAGGCAAAGAGAACUCAACCACUCUCAUGGCGAGUGUGAAUUUUAUUGAUUUGGCGGGGAGCGAGCGCGCAUCGCAGGCCUUAUCAGCUGGGGCAAGACUUAAGGAGGGUUGUCAUAUCAAUAGAAGUUUGUUGACCCUAGGAACCGUGAUACGUAAA
Non-coding RNA from Camelina sativa (false flax), 206 nucleotides. The record is from RefSeq and is a predicted model, not a curated record. Lineage: Eukaryota; Viridiplantae; Streptophyta; Magnoliopsida; Brassicales; Brassicaceae.